RNAcentral lists this unclassified non-coding RNA (353 nucleotides) under uncultured fungus. RNAcentral's name for it is "sequence contains ITS1". The stretch from base 1 to 105 matches the Rfam family "5.8S ribosomal RNA", at positions 50 to 154 of the family's 154-position model. The record is from RNAcentral. Lineage: Eukaryota; Fungi.
GAAAUGCGAAACGUAGUGUGAAAUGCAUAGACCUGUGAAUCAUUGAAUCUUUGAACGCACCUUGCGCUCUGCGGCUUGCUGUGGAGCAUGCCUGUGUGAGAAUUGGAAAACUCUAACAUUGGUUGAUUUGGGGUGCUGUUCAGAUGGACACGCUCUUAAAGAAAUGGCACAGCAGGGGGCGUGCAAGGCGGGUUAAGCAUGGGCUGGGGUCCAUCAAACGUCAAGCUGUCCGUGUGCUGUGCGCAAUGCUGUGUUGGUAUGCGUGUAUGUAUAGUUUAACUGUACUCAACACACCAACCAACACACACACAUAUCACCUCUCUCACACAGGCAAGAGUACCCGCUGAACUUAA